Long non-coding RNA from Myripristis murdjan (pinecone soldierfish), 2202 nucleotides. RefSeq lists it as uncharacterized. The record is from RefSeq and is a predicted model, not a curated record. The transcript has 7 exons. Lineage: Eukaryota; Metazoa; Chordata; Actinopteri; Holocentriformes; Holocentridae.
GGCAGGAGGGAGGGGUAUUCCCGCCAUGGAUGUAAUAAUUCCGGUUUGGAUCGGGAUCGUACACCAGCUGAUGUCCAAUCACACCGCAGGACUUUUAGGCCUUGUCAUAACCAUGACAACAGCCGUGACAUCACUGCAAGGGCUAGCGGAGAGGAGAGAGCGGAGCUCCAGACAGACAGCGGGACUUCGCCGGGUGCCACGCCGGCCCGCACGCACCGAUUGUCGGAUCGAAACCACGCGGACUACCGGGGUGCGAGCGGAGCGGCCGGUUGGACGUUUUGACGGCUGGGCACUGGAGCUUUGUCACGGCCAGCAUGAAGCUCCCUCAUCGGAGGAGGGUGUGGAAGAUAUGGUGGAGGUUGAGCCCGACAGAAAAUGGCAUCUUGUUUUAUUUCUGCCAAUCAAGACGAGAGGAGGACAACUCCCAAACUGGCAAUGACGUAACAGGAGGAUGAAGUGAAGCAUGGAGAGACCAAGACAAUGGAUGUACAGGACGGCAAAAGGGAACUGAGGAGCAGCCGCUGCUGUAAUCUCCACUGUUCAAUUAGCCGGACUGACCGGGACGCCACCUCCACUUCAUUAGCAAGGAAGGGAAGGCGGCGAGGUCCCGUCAGAGGAGCACAUCAUGUUUCUGAGAGAUUUGCUCGUUGGUCAGCGUCGCUGUGAAGUGAUGAGAACAUAGACACUGGAAUGGUUCAUGCCAACACUCGAACAUGCGUGGCGUUGAGUGACAGCACGAGAGCCGCAGCAGCAGCUAAAUGGACCGUGGUCCCCGUUUCCGUUUGACAUGAGAGGUGCUCGGUGAAGAACGUAGAAAAUGAACCGGCGAGGGCCUUUGUGAACCUUCGUCUCAUUUCUGGGUGGUUCGCCUUGCCACGGCAGCAGCUGUGACCAAACAAGCACCUGGCUGCUGGGUGGAUCUCUCCGUCGCAGCACAGCAACUCCAAGGGUAAUGCCGUGUUACAUCAUGAAAAGCAGGAAGACAGGAGGAGUGGUGGAGGAGGAGGAGAGGUCGAUGACAUCACGGACGCUCUCACACUCCUGUUAAAACCUUAUUGGCUGAACGCCUCAUGCCGACUCAUGUGAGCUGGACUUCCCUGAGCUGAGCUGAGCUGAGCUGAGCUGGGUGAACUGGGUGAACUGGCGUCUGCAGCUGGGACACGUCCUGAUGUGGGGGGGGGGAUAGAUUCUGAAUAACCACAAAUUAAGACAUGCAGGAGAAAUCCCUGUUUCCAGAUUUUGUUAUUUGAAUGGAAAACAAUGGGACUUAAAGCACCUGGGACGCUCCUGCAGGUCUAAUGUACCUGAGACUGAUCCAAACAACACCAGCCUCGUCUAUUUUAACACCCGAUAGAGGCGUGGAAGUAGACUAACACAUUCAGUUUACUCUCCUUAUUGUAACUGAGUAGCUUUUUUCGAGUAUUAUCUCAAGUCACUAAUAUUAAAUCAUUCAACUGUGUGUGUAGACCCGAGGAUUUUGCUAUUUUUUACAAAGUACAAGUGUCAUGAACUAAUCCUGUACAGCGUCUCAGUGAAUCCCACAGAGGUGUGUGAAGGUAGCAUUAAAGUAACGAUGACAUUAAACGAUCACACUGAUGUGAUCCAGCUAGUUGGAAGCUAGUACGACAAAGGAAAGAAAAAAAAAUAUAUACAUAAAAACAUCAGUGUUGUAGCAUUAGUGAAUGAUGGAGGACUUUUUCUGUUUGUGUUUUUUUUUGUUUGUUUGUUUUGUCUUUUUAAUUUUUCAAAUGGACUGAUGAGAUGUGCUUCAGUUAGACAUUUUCAGUUUUAUAUCAGUUAUUUUUUUUUUUAGCCUAUAUUUUUUAGAACAGUGAAUUCUAACAUAACUGAAUUAUUUCUAACUAAACAGCGGGGUUAACCUUCAUGUGUUUUGUCUGAACGCUGUUUUCUCUUCUUUUUCUUUGUAUGGAAAGACUCACCUGAAUACACGUAUAAAUGAGCUACUUUCUCCUUUUGCUGAAUAAUGUCUCACAUCAAUAAUUUUGCUUUCACUCAAGUAAAAGCAUCAGUAAAGUAACCGCAGGCAGCCUGAGUAGAGAAUUUGGAUGCUCUUUUAGAGUUUGAUGUCAGAUCAUGAAAAUGUUAACGCAGGAACUAACAGUGAUUUUCUGUUUGUGACAUUGUGGUAAAAGUGUUUUUGUGUCCUGUCUGUCAUCGCCGCCAUUAAACCAGUCAGCCGUG